RNAcentral lists this transfer RNA (73 nucleotides) under bacterium. Its description in RNAcentral is "tRNA-Tyr". It matches the Rfam family "tRNA". From Rfam's summary of the family: Transfer RNA (tRNA) molecules are approximately 80 nucleotides in length. Their secondary structure includes four short double-helical elements and three loops (D, anti-codon, and T loops). Further hydrogen bonds mediate the characteristic L-shaped molecular structure. tRNAs have two regions of fundamental functional importance: the anti-codon, which is responsible for specific mRNA codon recognition, and the 3' end, to which the tRNAs corresponding amino acid is attached (by aminoacyl-tRNA synthetases). tRNAs cope with the degeneracy of the genetic code in two manners: having more than one tRNA (with a specific anti-codon) for a particular amino acid; and 'wobble' base-pairing, i.e. permitting non-standard base-pairing at the 3rd anti-codon position. The record is from RNAcentral.
CCAGGGGUGGCAGAGCGGCUGAUGCGCGGGUCUGUAAAACCCGUUUAGGUUGGUUCAACUCCAACCCCCUGGA